UAACACGUAGGGGGCGAGCGUUGUUCGGAAUCAUUGGGCGUAAAGGGUGCGCAGGCGGCAUGCCAAGUCUGGUGUGAAAGAUCCCGGCUCAACCGGGGAGACGCACUGGAAACUGGCGUGCUUGAGUACAGGAGGGGGAGUUGGAAUUCCAGGUGUAGGGGUGAAAUCUGUAGAUAUCUGGAAGAACACCGGUGGCGAAGGCGAACUCCUGGCCAUGUACUGACGCUGAGGCACGAAGGCGUGGGGAGCAAACAGG
This 256-nucleotide ribosomal RNA is filed under the name uncultured bacterium. RNAcentral's name for it is "partial 16S ribosomal RNA". It matches the Rfam family "Bacterial small subunit ribosomal RNA", at positions 521 to 776 of the family's 1533-position model. The record is from RNAcentral.